GGGGCGGAACUCCUCGCGCGCGCGCUGGUCGAAGUCCUGUCCGUGGAUGAUCCGCAUCUGCUUCAGGAAGGUAGACUUGCCGCUCUCGCCCGCGCCCAGCAGCAGGAUCUUCACCAGCCGCUUCACGUGGUGCGCCAUAACUGCUGUCACCUGCACUCGCCCUGCCUGUUGCGAGGCCACUGGCUAGAAAAUUAUUUGCACAGCCGGCGGGAGCCAGGAAGAUUGUUGAUGCCUCUUUAAAGGUGACUCUGUUGACACUAUACUCCCAGAUCCUCACCUAUAAUGACACUCACCCUCCCCACCUCAGCUUUUUAUGGCAUUUUUUGACCCUCAUGGACAGUAGUUUGAGGCAGAAGGACUGGAGUCGUUCAUCUGAUAUGUGACCGUUAAUGUCUCGCACAUGUGCAUUCCCACUCGAGCUGCGCUAUGAUUUAGCCUCUGAAGAAGAUCCACAAGCUGUCGAUGACCAGCUGAGACCUCAGCUCAUUUGAAGUAAAAAGCCUGUACUCUUUGGAAGGCACACACCAGAACUCUAUAAAUACUUUCAUCUUGCCUGCUGCAUCAGAACUGCUGCUGGGAAAUCUGUUGGUGUAAUCCUAUGCACAAGGCUGAGUCUGUACACUUGAUAUUCUUUCUGAGACACUGAAAAUAUCCUGUUCACUCCAUCUCCUUUUUUUUCCCAUACCAAUAUCACUUUAAAAGUCAGAGAUACUUUUUAUGUUUUAUUGUCCUUAAAUGUCCCUUGCCAGAAAAAAAAGCAAAGAUUUUUAAUUAACCUAAAUUUUGUUUCUCCAGGGAUGUUCAAGUUGGCAUUCUGAAUUUAUUCUUGCAUGUCAAAAUACCCUGCUUCCAAUGUGGUGGCAGCAGUUUUCUUUCCCUAAAAUGCUGGAUCAACAGACCUGGACGGGCUGCUCCUAGCUAUCAUGCUCUUACGGGGCUGGCUCUGGCUAUAAGGUGGCAUUGCAUGUCAUGGCCUGCAGAGCUGGUCUUUGCUUCAUUCUAAAGUGCCAGGAAGCAUCAGCUGGCUGAGGCUACCAUCAGACAGUAAGGGCUCACCCGGGGGUUCUGAGAAACAAUCCAGUAGCCCAUAUGGCCUUUGAUGGAUCCAGACAGGCUGUGGCAGACUGAAUCCCAGAGCCAAUAAUGUCAUCAACUUGUCUUUCUCCACAUUCCUGUGUCAGCUGCUAAGAAGAAGAAAGGCAAGCUCAGGGAAGAAUUCAGGGAAAGGCUGCACCUCCUGAGUCAGAAUGACACCCUCGAGGAUUUAGAAGAUUCUCCUUGCUAUGCUGGACUCCAGCAGGGAGACGAGAGGCAGAAAGAAAAGCCAGAAGUGGCUUGAUGUGUGCUUGGCAAUUUUGCUAUUAUGAUUGCUUGAACUGUCACAGGAAAAGUUCCCUGAAGUAGCAAGCUUUAUUUAAAGCUGCUGGUGCAAACCCCCAGCAGGAUCUGUUUCUGGUUACCUGAUAAUAACAAUGAGAAAAACAACACCUACCUGCGAGAGGCUGUCCCAACACUCAGCUCUGAAGAAGGGCAGGAUUUAUUAGUAUCCACAGUAGCCUCAGGAGUCACUUUGUCAACCAGAAAGGAGCCAAGCCAGACCGCAAAGAUUCCCAAGAUCUCAGGCUCUUGAGAUGGAUCCCAGUGGAGACCUUUAUGAACAUCCAGCUGAAACAUUCCACUGGAGUCAUUCACAGGCCAGUCCUUGCUUGUGGACAGUUUGUGCCCAACCCCCACACCAUAGGAGUCCACUGAGGCCCUGGUAGUUGCUGGGUUCCCAAGACCACCCCAGGUUGAAAGCCAAGGGGCACUUUAUGAAAAACCAGCGGCAUAACAUCUAAUGUUCUGGGCUAAUUCUCAGUUGUCCAGUCACCUUUCAACUGCAGAUACUCAGUAGAAGCUCAUUUUGUCAGAUGUGAGCCAGGAUCUGAAAAGAACACCCAAGAGAGACAGGCAGGAGCAUCAAAUCACAGCUCUUCCACCCAUGUAUCUGUGGAUUUCCUGUCACUGGCCACCUACAUUCUCUGGGCUUUAUUUUCUUUAUCCAAAAACGAAAACAAAUAAAAUGGAACUAAUAAUA
Cavia porcellus (domestic guinea pig) is the source of this 2077-nucleotide long non-coding RNA. RefSeq lists it as uncharacterized. The record is from RefSeq and is a predicted model, not a curated record. NCBI's taxonomy places the organism in Eukaryota, Metazoa, Chordata, Mammalia, Rodentia, Caviidae. The transcript is spliced from 5 exons.